This 460-nucleotide ribosomal RNA is filed under the name uncultured bacterium. RNAcentral describes it as "partial 16S ribosomal RNA". It matches the Rfam family "Bacterial small subunit ribosomal RNA", at positions 338 to 795 of the family's 1533-position model. The record is from RNAcentral.
CCUAAGGGAGGCUGCAGUGAGGAAUCUUGGUCAAUGGACGCAAGUCUGAUCCUGCCAUGCCGCGUGCAGGAAGGCGGCUCUAUGAGUUGUAAACUGCUUUUGUACGAGGGUAAACGCAGAUACGCGUAUCUGUCUGAAAGUAUCGUACGAAUAAGGAUCGGCGAACUCCGUGCCAGCAGCCGUGGUAAUACGGAGGAUUCAAGCGUUAUCCGGAUGUAUUGGGUUUAAAGGGUGCGUAGGCGGUCGGAUAAGUUAGGGGUGAAAUCCCGAGGCUCAACUUCGGAAUUGCCUCUGAUACUGUUAGGCUAGAGAGUAGUUGCGGUAGGCGGAAUGUAUGGUGUAGCGGUGAAAUGCUUAGAGAUCAUACAGAACACCGAUGGCGAAGGCAGGUUACCAAGCUACUUCUGACGUUGAGGCACGAAAGCGUGGGGAGCAAACAGGAUUAGAUACCCGUGUAGUC